RNAcentral lists this unclassified non-coding RNA (240 nucleotides) under soil metagenome. RNAcentral describes it as "partial contains 5.8S ribosomal RNA, internal transcribed spacer 2, and large subunit ribosomal RNA". The record is from RNAcentral.
AACGCACGAGACCUGCGGACCUGCGGAAGGAUCAUUACCGAGUUUACAACUCCCAAACCCAAUGUGAACGUUACCAAACUGUUGCCUCGGCGGGAUCUCUGCCCCGGGUGCGUCGCAGCCCCGGACCAAGGCGCCCGCCGGAGGACCAACCAAAGCUCUUUUGUAUACCCCCUCGCGGGUUUUUAUAUCUGAGCCAUCUCGGCGCCUCUCGUAGGCGUUUCGAAAAUGAAUCAAAACUUU